GACGAACGCUGGCGGCGUGCCUAAUACAUGCAAGUAGAACGCACAGUUUAUACCGUAGCUUGCUACACCAUAGACUGUGAGUUGCGAACGGGUGAGUAACGCGUAGGUAACCUGCCUGGUAGCGGGGGAUAACUAUUGGAAACGAUAGCUAAUACCGCAUAAUAUUGAUUAUUGCAUGAUAAUUAAUUGAAAGGUGCAAUUGCACCACUACCAGAUGGACCUGCGUUGUAUUAGCUAGUAGGUGAGGUAACGGCUCACCUAGGCGACGAUACAUAGCCGACCUGGGGGGGGGAUCGGCCAACCUGGGGCUGGGGAGCGGGCCAGACUCCUACGGGAGGCAGCAGUAGGGAAUCUUCGGCAAUGGACGAAAGUCUGACCGAGCAACGCCGCGUGAGUGAAGAAGGGUUUCGGAUCGUAAAGCUCUGUUGUAAGAGAAGAACGGGUGUGAGAGUGGAAAGUUCACACUGUGACGGUAUCUUACCAGAAAGGGACGGCUAACUACGUG
Molecule: ribosomal RNA, 505 nt
Filed under: uncultured bacterium
Lineage: Bacteria
Description: partial 16S ribosomal RNA
Rfam family: Bacterial small subunit ribosomal RNA
Source: RNAcentral